UAUUAUUUUUUAACCUGAAGAACCUUUCCUCAUAAUCUCAGAUAUUAAUCAGACUUUCAAAAAAUGACCUUACUGAAAUAUGAACUAAAGCCAAAAUUCGACGAAAAUCAUGUUUUAAUUGGAAUCAGAUUUCUAAGAGAAAAGUGGUUUAGAUAAAAAAAAAAAACAUCGUAGUAAAACUAACUGACCCUUUGCUUUAAUAAGAAUCUAAAAUAAAUGUCUACAGACACGAUAAUG
This is a non-coding RNA of Cinara cedri, 237 nucleotides long. The record is from the annotation of a GenBank genome assembly. NCBI's taxonomy places the organism in Eukaryota, Metazoa, Arthropoda, Insecta, Hemiptera, Aphididae.